This 1062-nucleotide long non-coding RNA is filed under the name Glycine max (soybean). RNAcentral describes it as "long non-coding RNA (GMAX_LNC004608)". The record is from RNAcentral. Lineage: Eukaryota; Viridiplantae; Streptophyta; Magnoliopsida; Fabales; Fabaceae.
AACAUUCUCUUAAAACUAUUCCUCGAUCAUUUCCUGUGAACUUAUUCAUUUGGAUCAACCACUUUGCUACCUGCUUAUUACCAAGUACCAACAUCGAUGCUUAGAUAGUAACGAUUACAAUUUACAAAGACAUAACAGUCUUGAUCUACGGCUCCACCUGCCAUAGUCGCUUUUGGUCUUCAUCGUCAAUACGUUACGUAUGAUGUAUCCAAUAUGCCAUGUUCGUUGUGCAUUUGUGAACUAUCUAUUUGCUGUUAUCCAAGCUUGAAACAAGUGCUGGACUAAAUUGUCUGCAGCUUAUUUGAACUUUUCUUUAUUACCAUAGCAAUUGGUUCUCCAAUUCACGCCAUCCAUUCUCAAAUUCAUCUCAUAUGCUACUUUGAAAACUUGCUUCUCAUUUCUUUCAAUUCUUGAGUUUUCAAGAGGAAGUGGUUUUUUAAUCUUUCUCACAAGUUUUCUUCUUUGAAAAAAAAAAAACAAUUAUUUUACUCUUGAUCAUUAUUUUUCCGAGAUAAAUGUAUCGACUACAAAAAAAAAAAAGAGAACAAUUAUCUACAUAUAAUUAUCACAAAUUAUAUUAAAUAGAUAAAAUCUAUAACCAUCUACUUGAGCAUGCAUAUUUGUGAACUCUUUUAACUAAAAAAAUCUAGUGCAUGAAUAGCGUUAUAUCAUCUCGAAAACGUAUUUCACUCAUUCAGACAAAGAUAAACAAAGAAAGAAAAGUUCUUUAUUAAUUAUACACUUGGAAGCCUUCAAAUCCUGAAAACACUACAGUAACACACUAGAAUGUAGAAAAAGCAAAGGAAAAUAAUAGAAGACAACGUUAAAGACUUUGUUCAAUGACCGGCUCCUCUGUGACUAGGUCCAGAAUAAGCCCGAUUGAUUAUUAAGCCUAUGAAGGCAGGAGAAGAAGACUGAUCUUUGAGAGUUCUCGUGCUCUCUACAUUGUUGGAGUAUGAGAGUAAUAAGAGUAAGAAGAUGACGAGAAAGAUUGCGUUAAAUGCCACUGCAAGAGAGUAACCCUUCAUUUUUGUAGCUGCUAAUUUGGAUAGUAUACUAAUU